This 322-nucleotide ribosomal RNA is filed under the name uncultured eukaryote. Its description in RNAcentral is "partial 18S ribosomal RNA". It matches the Rfam family "Eukaryotic small subunit ribosomal RNA", at positions 1470 to 1796 of the family's 1831-position model. The record is from RNAcentral.
CCCUUAGAUGUUCUGGGCCGCACGCGUGCUACACUGAGUGGAUCAGCGGGUCAGGUUGCGCGAAAGUGUUUCCUAAUCUUUAAAUCCGCUCGUGAUGGGGAUUGACGGUUGCAAUUUUCCGUCAUGAACGAGGAAUACCUUGUAAGCGCGGGUCAUCAUCCCGCGCUGAAUACGUCCCUGCCCUUUGUACACACCGCCCGUCGCUCCUACCGAUUGAGUGGUCCGGUGAGGCUUUGGGAUCGGAGCGGAAAGAGCGUUUCGCUGUUUCUGCCCGGAAAACUCAGUCGAACCUUAUCAUUUAGAGGAAGGAGAAGUCGUAACA